This is a long non-coding RNA of Dermacentor albipictus, 1193 nucleotides long. RefSeq lists it as uncharacterized. The record is from RefSeq and is a predicted model, not a curated record. Lineage: Eukaryota; Metazoa; Arthropoda; Arachnida; Ixodida; Ixodidae.
CUCCCAACAAAGGUUCGCUUUGCCGGCAUGCGGCUGAAGCUGGGCGCCGAACGAAUUCGCCCGGCCCGACGGCGGGUCGUGUUCGGGUUACAUCCGGUGGCGCCGCCGGAGCGGCGCCGUUCAACCACUUCAUCGGGAUCGCCUGAUGCAGGUGCCUCUUGUCUAUUCGUCGAAAUUCGCACAGCAACCCGUGGUGGGUCCUGAUUGGAGGUUCGAGCCGAUGGCAACUGCAUCGACUCCUGUGGUUAUAAAAGCCCGAACCACGGGACGACGACGACGACAGCAAGCAGAGGCGUGCUCCCGUUUCUCACCGCACGCUUUAGUGCGAGUCCAUUGUGCCCCGGCCUCUGAGCCGUUCAUGUAACGCCCUUGUACAUACUGCAUGUAAAUGUUUCGUUUAAUCACCGUCGCCUUGGAUCCUCCUUCGCAACAGUGGCGGCAGCGUUGAGACGUCUCCGUCGCAACAGUUGGUUGGCAGCUGCGGGAUCGACCGGCGUCAGCUACCCCGGCGCGAACUAACCCUUACCGGUGCCGAGAAGAAAGCCUGUCGGAGCUGCCAAAUAAAGCAGGUCGAGAAACUUGGGCGACAAGCCGGAGAACGAGUGACCCUGGCCUGGCGAGUGGGGCCUGUUCAUGGGAAGGAGCGUGGAGCCACCUAUUCCCCGGAGCACGGAGGGGAACCUGGAUGGGCCUGACCAACAAGCGCGCCCGGCAUCCGAGCCACGAGGGAGCAGCUCGUCUUCCUGGCGCAUGGUCUGGCGGCGGGGGUGCUGUUGUGCUAGAGCUCCCAACAAAGGUUCGCUUUGCCGGCAUGCGGCUGAAGCUGGGCGCCGAACGAAUUCGCCCGGCCCGACGGCGGGUCGUGUUCGGUUUACAUCCGGUGGCGCCGCCGGAGCGGCUCCGUUGAACCACUUCACUGGGAUGGCUUGAUGCAGGUGCCUCUCGUUCAUUCGUCGAAAUUCGCACAGCAGCCCGUGGUGGGUCCUGAUUGGAGGUUCGAGCCGAUGGCAACUGCAUGGACUCCUGUGGUUAUAAAAGCCCGAACCACGGGACGACGACGAGGACAGCAAGCAGAGGCGUGCUCCCGUUUCUCACCGCGCGCUUUAGUGCGAGUCCAUUGGGUCCCGGCCUCUGAGCCGUUCAUGUAACGCCCUUGUACAUACUGCAUAUAAAUGUUUCGUUUAAUCACCGUC